Molecule: ribosomal RNA, 229 nt
Filed under: uncultured bacterium
Lineage: Bacteria
Description: partial 16S ribosomal RNA
Rfam family: Bacterial small subunit ribosomal RNA
Source: RNAcentral
UGCGUAGGCGGAAUGAUAAGUUAGUGGUGAAAGCCCCCGGCUCAACCGGGGAACUGCCAUUAAUACUGUCAUUCCUGAGUAUAGUUGAAGUGGGCGGAAUGUAUCAUGUAGCGGUGAAAUGCUUAGAUAUGAUACAGAACACCAAUAGCGUAGGCAGCUUGCUAAACUAUAACUGACGCUCAGGCACGAAAGCGUGGGGAGCAAACAGGAUUAGAUACCCUGGUAGUCC